RNAcentral lists this non-coding RNA (95 nucleotides) under bovine gut metagenome. RNAcentral describes it as "THF riboswitch". It matches the Rfam family "THF (Tetrahydrofolate) riboswitch aptamer". Rfam says of the family: THF riboswitch presents a pseudoknot that joins P1-P2 and the loop of P3 and two THF binding. The record is from RNAcentral.
GAGUAGGCCGGCGCGCGUUAAGUGCCCGAAGGACGGAGAGUUGUCUUCGGGACGAAAAGGGGCUUUCCCUUGCGGUGCGUCUGCCGCAUCUCGCU